This 373-nucleotide ribosomal RNA is filed under the name uncultured bacterium. Its description in RNAcentral is "bacterial SSU rRNA". It matches the Rfam family "Bacterial small subunit ribosomal RNA", at positions 122 to 501 of the family's 1533-position model. The record is from RNAcentral.
CAACCUACCCUUAAGACCGGGGAUAACACCUUCGAAAGGGGUUGUUAGUACUGGAUAAGCUUCUUUGUAGGGCAUCCUAUGAGGAGGGAAGGUAGCGGGAGCUACCGCUUAAGGAUGGGCCCGCGUCCCAUCAGCUAGUUGGUAGGGUAACGGCCUACCAAGGCGACGACGGGUAGCCGGCCUGAGAGGGUGGUCGGCCACACUGGGACUGAGACACGGCCCAGACUCCUACGGGAGGCAGCAGUGGGGAAUCUUGCGCAAUGGGCGAAAGCCUGACGCAGCGACGCCGCGUGAGCGAGGAAGGCCUUCGGGUCGUAAAGCUCGAUAGUGUGGGAAGAAGGGAUGACGGUACCACACGAGAGCCCCGGCUAAC